Molecule: unclassified non-coding RNA, 844 nt
Filed under: Hevea brasiliensis (rubber tree)
Lineage: Eukaryota; Viridiplantae; Streptophyta; Magnoliopsida; Malpighiales; Euphorbiaceae
Source: RNAcentral
AAAAAAAGGGAAAUGAAAUAUUUUUAAAUUUUAUUUUCUUAGGCUAGUUCAAAUAUAUUUUAAAUUAAGCAUUUUAGAUUCUCUUACUCUACAAGGAAUCAGAGUUUUUAUAUGCCCCUUUUUACAAUAGCAACAAUGCCCAUUAGUUAAUCUCCCAAGCAUGUGCUAUAGAAGCAUACCCUAUCUAUGGAAUUUAAUUAUUUAAAGACCAUUUCAUUGUUUGGUAGGCAAUCUGCAAAUGGCAAACUUUUUGUGUUCAAAAUAUUCUAUUUCCUAGGAAGUUUACACUUCUAUGGAAUUUACUUUCUAGGAAGUAUAUAUAAAUGUGUUUGGUAUAUAAAUUAACUUCUCAGAAAAUAAUUUGCUUCUAAAUUGUAAAAUACUAUAAUAUAUAAAUGUGUUUAGUAUACAAAUUAACUUCUUAGAAAGUAAUUUGCUUCUAAAUUGUAAAAAAAUAAAAAUAAAAAACUUGUAAUAUAAUUUAAAAGUUAACUAAUCAAAGGACAAAUUGAUAAAUUACAUUGUACUUAAUUAGAAAAGUGCAACUUACCAAAUCUCACCUAGUUAAGUUACUUCUCUUGCACAAGGGAAAUAGAAUGGCCUACUUUCCAGAAAGUUACUCGGUUUGAUAAUACAAACCAAAUAAAACUCUUUUUUGCACUUUUGAGUAAGUUCUAGUUCCUUAGUCUAUUGACCCCUAACCAAAGAAAAGCAUUUUCCUUUUCUUUUUCUCUAUUUUACUUACAUUGCCCUUCCUAAGACAUAAAUUACAGCCAUGCUGAUGCGAUCCUCAAAAAUGAUGUGUUGAAACUCAUGAACGGGUUUGGUUUAUAAUCCCAAGAAA